CUACGGGUUGCUCCAGUGGGGAAUAUUGGACAAUGGGCGCAAGCCUGAUCCAGCAAUGCCGCGUGAGUGAAGACGGCCUUAGGGUUGUAAAACUCUUUCGCUAGGGAAGAUAAUGACUGUACCUAGUAAAGAAGUCCCGGCUAACUCCGUGCCAGCAGCCGCGGUAAUACGGAGGGGACUAGCGUUGUUCGGAAUUACUGGGCGUAAAGAGUUCGUAGGCGGACUGACAAGUUAGAGGUGAAAUCCCAGGGCUCAACCCUGGAACUGCCUUUAAAACUAUCAGUCUAGAGACCGGAAGAGGUUAGGGGAAUACCUAGUGUAGAGGUGAAAUUCGUAGAUAUUAGGUGGAACACCAGUGGCGAAGGCGCCUAACUGGUCCGGUACUGACGCUGAGGAACGAAAGCGUGGGGAGCAAACAGGAUUAGAUACCCUUGUAGUC
This 439-nucleotide ribosomal RNA is filed under the name uncultured bacterium. Its description in RNAcentral is "partial 16S ribosomal RNA". It matches the Rfam family "Bacterial small subunit ribosomal RNA", at positions 339 to 795 of the family's 1533-position model. The record is from RNAcentral.